Non-coding RNA from Gossypium hirsutum (cotton), 107 nucleotides. Lineage: Eukaryota; Viridiplantae; Streptophyta; Magnoliopsida; Malvales; Malvaceae. The record is from Rfam.
AACUGAUAGUGAGGGCACCAUCUCAAUAAGUCCUUAUACCUCUCUCAUGCAUCAUAUAAAGUCUCUAAAUCGAUCUAAACGAAGGAAAAAAUAUCAUUCCUCAACUC